This 492-nucleotide ribosomal RNA is filed under the name uncultured bacterium. Its description in RNAcentral is "partial 16S ribosomal RNA". It matches the Rfam family "Bacterial small subunit ribosomal RNA", at positions 29 to 507 of the family's 1533-position model. The record is from RNAcentral.
AGUGAACGCUGGCGGUAGGCCUAACACAUGCAAGUCGAACGGCAGCACAGUAAGAGCUUGCUCUUACGGGUGGCGAGUGGCGGACGGGUGAGGGAUACAUCGGAAUCUACUUUUUCGUGGGGGAUAACGUAGGGAAACUUACGCUAAUACCGCAGACGACCUACGGGUGAAAGCAGGGGAUCUUCGGACCUUGCGCGAGUGAAUGAGCGGAGGUCGGAUUAGCUAGUUGGCGGGGUAAAGGCCCACCAAGGCGACGAUCCGUAACUGGUCUGAGAGGAUGAUCAGUCACACUGGAACUGAGACACGGUCCAGACUCCUACGGGAGGCAGCAGUGGGGAAUAUUGGACAAUGGGCGAAAGCCUGAUCCAGCCAUGCCGCGUGUGUGAAGAAGGUCUUCGGAUUGUAAAGCACUUUAAGUUGGGAGGAAGGGCAGUAAGUUAAUACCUUGCUGUUUUGACGUUACCAACAGAAUAAGCACCGGCUAACUUCGUG